RNAcentral lists this non-coding RNA (46 nucleotides) under Trichobilharzia regenti. Lineage: Eukaryota; Metazoa; Platyhelminthes; Trematoda; Strigeidida; Schistosomatidae. The record is from RNAcentral.
GUACUGUUAAUGAGUCCCAAACUAGGACGAAACGGCUGUCCAGUAC